This 636-nucleotide ribosomal RNA is filed under the name Aspergillus conjunctus. Its description in RNAcentral is "eukaryotic LSU rRNA". It matches the Rfam family "Eukaryotic large subunit ribosomal RNA", at positions 1 to 649 of the family's 3401-position model. The record is from RNAcentral. Lineage: Eukaryota; Fungi; Ascomycota; Eurotiomycetes; Eurotiales; Aspergillaceae.
GGUUGACCUCGGAUCAGGUAGGGAUACCCGCUGAACUUAAGCAUAUCAAUAAGCGGAGGAAAAGAAACCAACCGGGAUUGCCCCAGUAACGGCGAGUGAAGCGGCAAAAGCUCAAAUUUGAAAUCUGGCCCCUCCGGGGUCCGAGUUGUAAUUUGCAGAGGAUGCUUCGGGUGCGGCCCCCGUCUAAGUGCCCUGGAACGGGCCGUCAGAGAGGGUGAGAAUCCCGUCUUGGGCGGGGUGUCCGUGCCCGUGUGAAGCUCCUUCGACGAGUCGAGUUGUUUGGGAAUGCAGCUCUAAAUGGGUGGUAAAUUUCAUCUAAAGCUAAAUACUGGCCGGAGACCGAUAGCGCACAAGUAGAGUGAUCGAAAGAUGAAAAGCACUUUGAAAAGAGAGUUAAACAGCACGUGAAAUUGUUGAAAGGGAAGCGCUUGCGACCAGACUCGCCCGCGGGGUUCAGCCGGCACUCGUGCCGGUGUACUUCCCCGUGGGCGGGCCAGCGUCGGUUUGGGCGGCCGGUCAAAGGCCUCCGGAAUGUAUCGCCCUCCGGGGCGUCUUANAGCCGGGGGUGCAAUGCGGCCAGCCCGGACCGAGGAACGCGCUUCGGCACGGACGCUGGCAUAAUGGUCGCAAACGACC